Molecule: non-coding RNA, 2344 nt
Organism: Lactuca sativa (garden lettuce)
Lineage: Eukaryota; Viridiplantae; Streptophyta; Magnoliopsida; Asterales; Asteraceae
Source: RefSeq, a predicted model, not a curated record
UUCUCCUCACAAUAUUGUGCAACUUCUCAAUCAAAGAUCCAAGGUUACGAUUUCAUCUCCAUCUCCCGACUUCAUCAUCUCAAUCAAGAAAAAAAGCUUCUGAUUUCCAUUCAUCUGCUUCAUCUCUGCUGUGAUUUCACCUGCUUCAUCUCUAUUGUUUUUGAGAAUACUCGCCAGCAAUGUUCUUUCACUAUUCCUUGACCUGCUUUUUUCUGUAUUCUUUUCUCCACAAUAUCUUCAAAGACAUUCUCACACGCUUUCUCAAAAAAUCAUUUGUUCUCUCUCAAGAACCCUAGUCGUCACUCACACCACCAUAUUUGUAGUGUAAUCUGUUCAGAUGUAUAGGCAUCUAUGAAAUAAGGAACCGUGAUAUGGAAGGCCACCCAAGGAUUAACUCUUCAAGAUUCAGACCGCCAAGGGUUCAUUGAUUUAUAUUUCCCAUGUUAGAGUUUUUGGCUAAUGUUCAUCAUUUUCGAGUUUCUUAAUUACCCAAGUCUGGAUACUUUGGUAUUUCUUUGAUUUCCUUUUCCUUUUUUACUGAUUUUUAUUUCUGGGUUAUCUCCACAUCUGCUAGAUCGAACCAUGACCACGAUCGCCACACACUCUUCCAAGUUCCAACCGUUACCGUCCCUAACACCCCAUCUACAUCUGACCACCAACACCACCGUAAAAAAAGGUUCAAAUUCCCCUUUCUCACAAACUGGAAGAUCAAAAUAAGUUUUUUGGUCAAUUUUGCAAACUAAGGUUUUAUUUUCAUUCCAAUUUUCAUUGAACAAUUCGGUAGUUUCUCCAUUUAUCUAUUCUAUUUCAGUUUUUCUCAAAUUAGGGCUUACCAACUGUAUGAUGAAAUGCCUGAGAGAAAAAUUACAACCAAAACUGUUAAUUACUUUAUAUGUACUAGAUCUGGUGGUGAAGAUAUAGAGUCAAUGUUGCCCAGGACCAAUUUGGGAUCAUCAAGUUAAAACAAAUUUCACAUAGAAUAAACUUCAUAAAUAGUGACAACUUUCUUCCGGAUAAAGCUAUUGAUUUAAACGAUGAAGCCGGUUCUCGUGUUAAUGUAUUCUUCAAGUCCAUAUGCUCUUGAUUUCAUUUUAUAAUUCUUGCUAUUUUGGCAACGAAACCUGUUAUUAGAAGUGAACGUGAAAGAGGACCACUUGUACCUUUUGAAGAACUAGUAACUGAUAACACCUCAAAUGCAUGCAAUCUUGAGGAAAAGUAUUAGGAACCUUAAAAGCAGGGUGGCCAUGGCCCCCUCCGACCCCAAAUAGCAUCCGCCACUGGAGAUCUCAGUGUUGGAGAUGGAGAUGGAGAUGGAGAAGGCUUCAAGUUUUCAAAAUAGCAGGAGUGCCUGGGGCUUAUGUCAUGUGGUAUUGUCCUUUAUAUCGUGCUACAAGCCACAAGAACUGAUAGUGCUCUAAAGUUUGGAUGGUUUUUCUUGGCUUAUAUGUUUCACAUUGCCUUUUGUGUAUUUGCUGCUAUUGCCCCUCCUAUUAUUUUCAAGGGAAAAUCUCUCACAUAAGUUACAUGCUUUCUCAUUAAAGAUAUAGCAACCUUCUUUUAAUUUUUUUAUUAUUAAUUUUUUUUUCUUACUUUCAAUAAUUCCUUAUUAAUGAAUUUGGCAUUAAGCUCUUAAUUAUGUUUUUACUUUUUACAUUACAGUGGGAUUUUACCAGCUCUCGAUGUGCUAACUUCUAAUGCUUUUGUUGGGAUCUUCUACUUGAUUGGAUUUGCAUUCUUUGCUCUUGAAUCAGUGAUGAGCAUUUGGGUCAUUCAGAUUUGGAUUCUGUAGUAGAUUUGCAAAAUCAUACUGCCCUAUCAGACCAUAUUGCUGUGAUUGUUCCAACAUCUUCAACAAUGUAGUCCUUGAAACAUUUUGUGAUAGGGAUCAAACUGAAGGUGGUAGUCCAAAUAUAACUUAGGUGAUUAGGGCAGUUUUGAAUUCCUUUGGGGUAUGGGGUCAAAGUCAAACCCCCAUUGCUGUAUCACAACCAAAUAUGUUCAUGGUGGGAAAGGGUAAAACAAACAUAGACAAAUUCACUUGGGUGGUAGUGUUCAACAGGUUGCUUUGGGAAAGCAGAGAGUUGAUGAGCACAUAUAUACUCAGAUGAUGCAGGAAACUGGUGGUCAGCAGUCCAUGGUUGAUGAAAGCGAAUAGCUCUGGAGUUAGAAGAAGAAAAGAAAGCUCAAGUUGAAAGAGAUAAGAUGUUGCAAAUGCAAGUGUUUCAUUCUUCAUUUCAAUUGUUAGUAUGAAACACAUGGUAGAUUAGACGAAUGCAAAUUUAUAUAUUGUAAGAAAUAGAAUUGUAUGACAUUAAAUUUUAUGCAAUGGAUUGUAUUUUUUGUA